CAGCAGCCACGGUAAUACAGAGGGUGCGAGCGUUAAUCGGAUUUACUGGGCGUAAAGCGUGCGUAGGCGGCUUCUUAAGUCGGAUGUGAAAUCCCUGAGCUUAACUUAGUAAUUGCAUUCGAUACUGGGAAGCUAGAGUAUGGGAGAGGAUGGUAGAAUUCCAGGUGUAGCGGUGAAAUGCGUAGAGAUCUGGAGGAAUACCGAUGGCGAAGGCAGCCAUCUGGCCUAAUACUGACGCUGAGGUACGAAAGCAUGGGGAGCAAACAGGAUUAGAUACCCCUGUAGUCCCUGUCUCUUAUAC
RNAcentral lists this ribosomal RNA (301 nucleotides) under uncultured bacterium. RNAcentral's name for it is "partial 16S ribosomal RNA". It matches the Rfam family "Bacterial small subunit ribosomal RNA", at positions 509 to 807 of the family's 1533-position model. The record is from RNAcentral.